RNAcentral lists this ribosomal RNA (371 nucleotides) under uncultured organism. Its description in RNAcentral is "partial 16S ribosomal RNA". It matches the Rfam family "Bacterial small subunit ribosomal RNA", at positions 527 to 896 of the family's 1533-position model. The record is from RNAcentral.
GUAGGGUGCGAGCGUUAAUCGGAAUUACUGGGGCGUAAAGCGUGCGCAGGCGGUUGUGCAAGACAGAUGUGAAAUCCCCGGGGCUCAACCUGGGAAUUGCAUUUGUGACUGCACGGCUAGAGUGUGUCAGAGGGGGGUAGAAUUCCACGUGUAGCAGUGAAAUGCGUAGAGAUGUGGAGGAAUACCGAUGGCGAAGGCAGCCCCCUGGGAUAACACUGACGCUCAUGCACGAAAGCGUGGGGAGCAAACAGGAUUAGAUACCCUGGUAGUCCACGCCCUAAACGAUGUCAACUAGUUGUCGGGUCUUAAUUGACUUGGUAACGCAGCUAACGCGUGAAGUUGACCGCCUGGGGAGUACGGUCGCAAGAUUA